CCUACGGGUGGCAGCAGUGAGGAAUAUUGGUCAAUGGGCGGGAGCCUGAACCAGCCAAGCCGCGUGAGGGACGACGGUCCUAUGGAUUGUAAACCUCUUUUGUCGGGGAACAAAGGCGCGCACUGGUGCGCGGAUGAGUGUACCCGACGAAAAAGCAUCGGCUAACUCCGUGCCAGCAGCCGCGGUAAUACGGAGGAUGCGAGCGUUAUCCGGAUUUAUUGGGUUUAAAGGGUGCGUAGGCGGACAGUCAAGUCAGCGGUAAAAGUGCGGUGCUCAACGCCGGCCAGCCGUUGAAACUGGCGGUCUGGAGUGGGCGAGAAGUAUGCGGAAUGCGUGGUGUAGCGGUGAAAUGCAUAGAUAUCGCGCAGAGCUCCGAUUGCGAAGGCAGCAUACCGGCGCCCGACUGACGCUGAGGCACGAAAGCGUGGGUAUCGAACAGGAUUAGAUACCCGGGUAGUC
This 459-nucleotide ribosomal RNA is filed under the name uncultured bacterium. RNAcentral describes it as "partial 16S ribosomal RNA". It matches the Rfam family "Bacterial small subunit ribosomal RNA", at positions 338 to 795 of the family's 1533-position model. The record is from RNAcentral.